AUAGUAGAGGCAGCGGCUUCCGCGGCACGCACGCUGGCACCGGUGCGGUCGGGGAGACGCCUCGGAGGUGGAGGGUGUUUUUUUAACCUACAAAUCAACUCUCCCGUUGGGGCAUUGGGAAAGUCUUUAGCCUUCCUAAUCUGCACCUUAGGAUUCCUCUUCUUCCUCGGAACCGGCGGAGGCAGCGCCGAAUCUUGCCUAAUUAGGUAAUUCACGCUUUUCUCCUUUGCCUUCGCCUUCGCAUUCUCCUUACCAGCACCCUUUCCCUUCUCAUUCCCCUUCUCCUUCACCAUUAUCUACAAAAAACAGCACAUAAUAUCUGCACAGUACAUUAAUCAAGCGCAAAAAAUUCAUCUUCUUCUUUUUGUAGCAUAGAAAAUCAUCUAGUACUAGUGCAAAUAAACAUAAUUAUCUCCUGACCAUUAUCUAUAAAAAACAGCACAUAAUCCCCCUCUCAUUCCCCUUCUCCUUCACCAUUAUCUCCUGACCAAAUCAUCUACUACUAGUGCAAAUAAACAUAAUUUAUCUCCUGCCAUUAUCUACAAAAAAACAGCACAAAAUCCCCCUCUCAUUCCCCUUCUCCUUCACCAUUAUCUCCUGACCAAAUCAUCUACUACUAGUGCAAAUAAACACAACUAUCUCCUGACCAUUAUGUACAAAUAAAACAACACAUAAUCCCCCUUCUCCUUCACCAUUAUCUCCUCACCAAAUCAAAGACUUGCCAGCAAGAUUGUUCAGCUCACUAAACUACAACAUCUACUCUGUGACGUAGAUUAGAGGAAGAUACCAAUCGGGAUUGGGGCUUGGGAGUAUGAAAAACUUAAGAACGGAGAUCUCAGGAGGCUACCUUUUCCUCUUCGUGGC
RNAcentral lists this long non-coding RNA (864 nucleotides) under Triticum aestivum (bread wheat). RNAcentral describes it as "long non-coding RNA (TAES_LNC006593)". Lineage: Eukaryota; Viridiplantae; Streptophyta; Magnoliopsida; Poales; Poaceae. The record is from RNAcentral.